AUGACUUUGUGCCAAGACUCAUGCAGCUUUUUGAAAGUCCUCANCACAUCUCUCAUCUUAUUUCACCUAAUGAUUUUGAUUUAUUUGCAGGAGGUUUUCAGGAAUCAAUUCCUUCAGGGCUUACUUGAAUUAUCGAAGCAAACUUCAACAAAUGUCAAAAAAUUGGUGUGUUCAUCAUGGGCUCUGCUUAUGGAACACCAGUUAAUUCCAGAGCUAUAUUUGGGAACUGCUAUUAAUUUCGUCCUGCUAGCUAACAAUGAGUUGGACGAAGAUCUUGCUCUGGAGGCCUGUAAAUUUUGGUCGUACUGUGAUUCCAGCAAAGGGUUGCAGGAGGUCUUGCCAGAAUUAAUCCCAACUUUGGUGCAAAACAUGGUUUAUACUGAUCUUGAUGAUUCUCUGGCUGAUAUUAAGGAAUAUGAAUCCAUUUCCAUCAGGGACCAGGAUCUGAAGCGCCGCUUCCAUGCGUCUCGAUUACAUAGAUUUGAAACUGGAAAGGAGAACGCUGAUGAUGAUGAUGAUGAUGCUGUAAAUGCUUGGAAUUUGCGGAAAUACAGCACUGAAGGGUUAGACCGUCUUUCUAAGGUUCUUAGGGACGACAUUCUUCCUAUUUUAAUGCCCUUGAUCAAGGAUAAGAUCGCUCAGACAGAUGAUGAUGGAUGGAAGGAUAGGGAAGUUGCUGUUCUAUGUAUUAAUACUAUAGCAGAGGGAUGCAUGACUGGAUUGUAUUCCCACACUCCGCAGAUUUUCCACAUGCUGAUCCGGUUACUUGAUGAUAAGUUUCCUCUUGUACGGAGAAUCACCUGUCAAACCAUUUCUCGAUAUAGCAAGUUCAUUGUUCAGAGCCGUGACCGUGAACAAUUUGCUAAGAUCAUCACGGGCCUGCUUAGAAGGACAUUAGAUACUAACAGAAAAGUUCAGGAGGCUGCACGUUCGGCCUUCCUGACGAUUGGGAAGGAUGCUGCAGAAUCAAAUGGAAUGGAAAUUAUUUUGGAGCAACUCAUCUUAGAACUUGGGAAACACCAGGCGCGAGACCUUUGGUUAAUUUCUGAGGCACUUUGCAGUCUUAUUGAUGUUGUUGGAGCAAUGGUAAACAAGGCAGAACAUCUGCACAUAUUUGUUCCUCUGUUGAUCAAGAAAUGGCAGCAACUUCAGAAAUCUAACAAAGAUAUCUUGCCCCUACUUGAAUGCUUUACAUCUAUCGCACAGGCAGCGGGAUCAGGAUUUUUUCAGUUUGCUAAGCCAGUGUUUCAGAACUGCCUAGAUCUUAUCAAGUUCUGGCAGUUGGCAAAUGCUGAUCGUGCCGCACCUCAUGCGUCAGACGAUGAGGAUUUCGUCGUCUACUCAUUGGACCUUUUGUUAGUACUUGCAGAAGCACUUGGUGCUGAUACUGAAAGCCUGGUCGCGCAAAGUGAUUUGAUCGAUCUCAUUAUGCGAUGCUGCAAGGAUGAAGUAGCUGGUAUUCGACAAAGUGCUCUGGCCCUUCUGGGCGGAAUUUCUAUGGUUUGCCAUACACAUGUACUUCCAAGAUUUGAAGAGUUCCUUGAAGUUGCAGCAGAGCAACUGAUAAUGCAAUCCGUGAAGGCUGCACCAUCUGUAGCAAACAGUGCAUGCUGGAUCAUCGGGGAACUGGCAAUGAAGUUCGGCCAAGAAACUUCAUCACCAGUGGUGACCACCAUUCUAUCAUGUCUGCUUCCUAUUCUAAGGUCUUCAGAGGGACUCGACAAUAUAGUUGUUGGAAAUACAGCGAUAACUCUUGGAAGGCUUUCGUUGGUCUGGCCAAUGACCGUGUCAACUCAUCUUAAACGGUCUAUGCAAGCAUGGUGCAAUGCCUUGUGCAUGGCAAGAGGUGAUUUAGAAAAAGAAGACGGUUUUUCUGGUCUGUGCGAAAUGGUGGAAGCAAACCUAUCAAGGGCUGUGGGUUCACUGGCUCAUGUGUGCAGAGCCUUUGCAAGCCUAAAGGAUAUACAAAGUGAAGCCCUUCCCAGUAAAGUGCGCGGUGUGCUGAACAAUCUAAAACAGAGUGCUGGUGAUGCUCGCUGGGAGCAAUGCAUGUCCACUCUAGAUCCAUCGGAGGUGCAGAGGCUAGCGAGUCUGAUGGCGGAGACCGAGCCGCAAUGA
RNAcentral lists this ribosomal RNA (2118 nucleotides) under Triticum aestivum (bread wheat). RNAcentral's name for it is "partial small subunit ribosomal RNA". Lineage: Eukaryota; Viridiplantae; Streptophyta; Magnoliopsida; Poales; Poaceae. The record is from RNAcentral.